GAAGGAGCAGGGGUGAUGCAUAGCUGUGGAGGAAAGGGCAGCAGGCCGGCUGGAAGAGGCAGGCAGCCUGGAAGUUGGCCUGGCGAUGGCCAGGAGGAGACCUACUUAGGGUUCCCCAUCACCCCAGCCCUCUGAGGACAGCAAGCAGUUAAGAGGCAGGCCCAUGAGAAACUGGGGUCCUCGGCUACUGAUGAAGGGGCAUAGUCCCUGGGAAUCAGCUGAGACUUAAAUGAUACCCAAAUGUCCCCCUGUCUCUGAGGUCCAGAAACUGAGAUGACGGAGGCCAGGAUUCCAGGAAGGGGACACAUGAGGACAGGCUUCCUGGUUUCCAGUGGGGAGAGGCCAUGAGGCCAUCCCCCUCAGCAGGUGGGGCUUGGGGUGGGGGGGCACCGUGACCCUUCACUUCCCUGCUGGCCCACCCUCUGUCCGGCAGACACACGUCUCUUUUCCUUGACCACGGGCGGGGGCUGCCCCCUGGACUGGGCCCCGUUCCUUGAUCCUGUGUGGGAGGCUCUGGUGAGAAAGAGAGCUGGUAACGGGGGGUGGGGGUGAGGGGACACAUCAGAGAUUGGGGGCGCGGCGCGGGGACUCCAACUUGCAGAGGGAGGGGUGGACACUCAACAAAGACCUGGGUCCUGUUGUUUUAAAUAAGAAAUUUAUUGCAAAUAUAGAAAUUGAUUCUCUCCAUACAGGAAUCUCCAAGUUGAGGAAAACAAUUUCGUGCCAUUCAGUUUAAAAUAGGAAAUUGGGAGGGAGAGGCAGAUACAGGGAAGAGAAAAUAAAUGAAGUCACCCCCCCCACCCUGAAAAGAAGAAAAGGAGCGUACAUCCCCCCCCACCCAAGGAGGAAAAGGUCCGGUCCACACAGCGAAGGUUCACAGUGUCCAUCUGUGGAAGAGACCUUGUGGCUGUCCCGUGUCGCUGCACGUAAGCGCCUUAUAACCUACCGCGCUUGUCCCCCGAUGCCUGCCCCCCUUUCUGGCCUCAGUCUGUCUUUAACGGGUUUUGAGACCCUACAAGCUUUCCUUCCCUCUCCCUCCUCCCUGUGCUUCCUCCUCUGCUAAAAGUCCGGGACACGGGGGUGGGGAACAUCAGAGACCCUCGGCCAGGCCCAGACUCUCAGCCCUGCCCUGGGAGGAGGGGGAGCAGUGAGAGGCGAGGGGCCAAGG
RNAcentral lists this long non-coding RNA (1168 nucleotides) under Sus scrofa (pig). RNAcentral describes it as "lncRNA (ENSSSCG00005004281.1)". The record is from RNAcentral. Lineage: Eukaryota; Metazoa; Chordata; Mammalia; Artiodactyla; Suidae.